CGCAAUUGCUUUUCUCCGGACAUACUUUUCUUCUUAAACAAAAUGGCUGUUUUGAAAUUGCAGAAAAUUUACAAAAGCUUUCGAACACGAAGAAAGCUUGGAGAUUGUGCUGUUCAGUGACUGAUUUCGGGGGAGUUUACAAUGGGUUAUUCUCAAACAACAGUUGCACGAAGAUUUGGUUGGGUUUUAGCCGAGAGAUAGAAAGAGAAGAUGAUGGUGUUGUCACUGAUAAUCUGGAUUGAAUGUGAAGAUUUGUGUAUGUCGAAUGGCUUCUGAAUAUUGGUGUGUGUGUGUUUAGUUUGUAUUGUGUCGGAAUUUGGAGAGCCAUAAAAGGUGACUCUUGAUGCAACAACAACAACAACACUGCAUUGUGCUCAACAACUGUUUGCUUAAUUGCCUGAACUAAAAAUUGAUACUGGUGCCUGAGAUUUGUGGACGUGUUUGAAGUAUCAUGUUUCAAUUAGAAACUCAAGAAGAACACUAGGAAUCAUCUGAGUUCAGUAGAUAAAAGUGAUUCGAGUUAGUAGUAGACUUGGUAGAAUCAGGUGGAAUUGUCAGAAAAGAGACCCUCCAAAAACAUAUCAAAGAUUGAGUGGUCGGAUAACAGGCAUAAAAGAUAGCUAUCUUUGCUAGCUCAGCCUCUUUGCUAAGUUGAUUGAGAAGAGGAACGUCAAAGACUUGAUCACCAACUCUGGCUUGGUGAGGUGGUGGUAGUGCUGUCAUCGCUGUCUCUGCUUCAUCAGGCGUUACAGCUGCUGCAGCUGUUGUUGCACUGAAAGCCGAGGAGAAGGAUUGUCAUGAGCUCCAAGUGAAUUCUUUUUUAUGGACAUUCGUUCUUUAUCCAAGUAUGCACGAUGUGAAUAAAAAAUGCAUCGCGACAGGGGCGAGGCGAAGCCGAGCCAUACCAAAUUAAAGAUCCUAAACGACGGAGGCGAGGCAAAACCAAACCAUACCAAAUCAAGAAUCCUAAGCAUAUAACGGGACGGGGUGAGACAAAACCGAGCCACCCCAAAUCAAAAAUCCUAAGCAUGCAUACACCAAAUGAAAGAUCCUAAGUGACGGGGCGAGGCGAGGCCGAGCCACACCAAAACAAAAAUCCUAAGCAUGCAUCAGGACGGGGCGAAGCGAAACCGGGCAACACCAAAUCAAAGAUCCUAAGCAACGAGGGCGAGACGAACCUGAGCCACACCAAAU
Molecule: long non-coding RNA, 1194 nt
Organism: Papaver somniferum (opium poppy)
Lineage: Eukaryota; Viridiplantae; Streptophyta; Magnoliopsida; Ranunculales; Papaveraceae
Exons: 3
Source: RefSeq, a predicted model, not a curated record